This 1399-nucleotide ribosomal RNA is filed under the name uncultured marine bacterium. Its description in RNAcentral is "bacterial SSU rRNA". It matches the Rfam family "Bacterial small subunit ribosomal RNA". The record is from RNAcentral.
GAGUUUGAUCCUGGCUCAGGAUGAACGCUAGCGGCAGGCUUAACACAUGCAAGUCGAGGGGUAACAGAGAGUGCUUGCACUCUGCUGACGACCGGCGCACGGGUGAGUAACGCGUAUGCAACCUACCUUUUACAGGGGAAUAGCCCAGAGAAAUUUGGAUUAAUACCCCAUAUUAUCUUUUUUUCGCAUGAAUUAGGGAUGAAAGUUUCGACGGUAAAAGAUGGGCAUGCGUCCUAUUAGUUUGUUGGUAAGGUAACGGCUUACCAAGACUUCGAUAGGUAGGGGCCCUGAGAGGGGGACCCCCCACACUGGUACUGAGACACGGACCAGACUCCUACGGGAGGCAGCAGUGAGGAAUAUUGGACAAUGGAGGAAACUCUGAUCCAGCCAUGCCGCGUGCAGGAUGAAUGCCCUAUGGGUUGUAAACUGCUUUUAUACAGGAAGAAAUAUUUCCACGUGUGGAAACUUAACGGUACUGUAAGAAUAAGGAUCGGCUAACUCCGUGCCAGCAGCCGCUGUAAUACGGAGGAUCCAAGCGUUAUCCGGAAUUAUUGGGUUUAAAGGGUCCGUAGGUGGUUAUUUAAGUCAGAGGUGAAAUCCUGCCGCUUAACGGUAGAACUGCCUUUGAUACUGAUUAACUUGAGUUAUUGUGAAGUAGUUAGAAUAUGUAGUGUAGCGGUGAAAUGCAUAGAUAUUACAUAGAAUACCGAUUGCGAAGGCAGAUUACUAACAAUAUACUGACACUGAGGGACGAAAGCGUGGGUAGCGAACAGGAUUAGAUACCCUGGUAGUCCACGCCGUAAACGAUGGUCACUAGCUGUUUGAUUAACAUUGGUUGAUUAAGUGGCUAAGCGGAAGUGAUAAGUGACCCACCCUGGGGGUGUACGCUCGCAAGAGUGAAACUCAAAGGAAUUGACGGGGGNCCCGCACAAGCGGUGGAGCAUGUGGUUUAAUACGAUGAUACGCGAGGAACCUUACCAGGGCUUAAAUGUAGAUUGCAUAAGCUAGAGAUAGCUUUUUNUUCGGACUAUCUACAAGGUGCUGCAUGGUUGUCGUCAGCUCGUGCCGUGAGGUGUCAGGUUAAGUCCUAUAACGAGCGCAACCCCUGUCGUUAGUUGCCAACAGGUUAUGCUGGGAACUCUAACGAGACUGCCGGUGCAAACUGAGAGAAAGGUGGGGACGACGUCAAAUCAUCACGGCCCUUACGUCCUGGGCUACACACGUGCUACAAUGGUCGGUACAGAGAGCAGCCACCUUGCGAAAGGGAGCAAAUCUUUAAAACCGGUCUCAGUUCGGAUCGCAGUCUGCAACUCGACUGCGUGAAGCUGGAAUCGCUAGUAAUCGCAUAUCAGCCAUGAUGCGGUGAAUACGUUCCCGGGCCUUGCACUCACCGCCCGUC